Molecule: ribosomal RNA, 490 nt
Filed under: uncultured bacterium
Lineage: Bacteria
Description: partial 16S ribosomal RNA
Rfam family: Bacterial small subunit ribosomal RNA
Source: RNAcentral
UGAACGCUGGCGGCAUGCUUUACACAUGCAAGUCGAACGGUAACAGGCCUUCGGGUGCUGACGAGUGGCGAACGGGUGAGUAAUGCAUCGGAACGUACCCAGAGGUGGGGGAUAACGCAGCGAAAGCUGUGCUAAUACUGCAUGUGAUCUGAGGAUGAAAGCGGGGGACCGAGCAGCAAUGUUUGGCCUCGCGCCUUUGGAGCGGCCGAUGUCGGAUUAGCUAGUUGGUGGGGUAAAGGCCUACCAAGGCGACGAUCCGUAGCUGGUCUGAGAGGACGACCAGCCACACUGGGACUGAGACACGGCCCAGACUCCUACGGGAGGCAGCAGUGGGGAAUUUUGGACAAUGGGCGCAAGCCUGAUCCAGCAAUGCCGCGUGCGGGAAGAAGGCCUUCGGGUUGUAAACCGCUUUUGGCAGGAACGAAACGGUGUCCGCUAAUACCGGGCGCUAAUGACGGUACCUGCAGAAUAAGCACCGGCUAACUACGUG